This is a long non-coding RNA of Epinephelus fuscoguttatus (brown-marbled grouper), 991 nucleotides long. RefSeq lists it as uncharacterized. The transcript is spliced from 4 exons. The record is from RefSeq and is a predicted model, not a curated record. NCBI's taxonomy places the organism in Eukaryota, Metazoa, Chordata, Actinopteri, Perciformes, Serranidae.
UGAAAGUGGACUCACCUGAGAGCUGCGGACUCUUCACAAGGGCCCCGAUGGAAACGCGGAAAAAAAUCCAUCUGGAAAAUUCGUUACGAGCUAAAGUUGCGGACAUUUCUCUCCCUGACUCUGCUUUGCUUCUGACACAGAUCACGUCAGCGUCACGUCGGGCUCCAGCACGACACUGUGAGAGGGGGUCUGUUUCUGUCUUUGGUUAUCUAGCUGUAUGAGUGUUAAAUACCUGUCAUAAAGCUAGAUAACCGAAAGUAGAAAUGACUUCCGUGACGUUGUGUGCACUCCCGACACACAGAGGGGGGCUCAUCAGGCUUUAAAGUCAGAAGGCUUCCGAUUAGCAACGUUGAAUGAUUGGGGAUUCCUGAAAAGAGGGUCGAACCAUCGUUAAAAGAAAACGAGGAGAGAGGAGGAAAAAAACGGUCGGUCCGGAAUUGCCGCCCCCUCCUCUCCCAUCCCCCCACUCCUCACCCUUUUUUACCCAGGAGCCUCUAAUGCCAUCUGCACUGCCAACGGGGGACACUUUGCCCGUGCCAGGAGGCGGACAAAGACCCCGCCGGAUCCCUGGAGUAUGGGCGCGCUCAGAGGAGCCAUCUUGGGAGAUGUUGCCGCGACACCUAAAAUGGCUGGGGCUGGCACACGAGGAUGGGACAGGACCUGCAAGUCUUUCUGCACUCUGGAGGAACCUGCUCGAGCACGAGGAGAUGGUGAAACAAACUCAACAAGAUCAUCAGAGACUCUCACCUCAACAGGAAUUCAAGAGAUUAUCAGCCACCUAAAUGGGAAGAGUCCCACUGUGUGUUAAAAGACUGUAGACACAGAAGAGACAUUCUGCAAGCCUGAAAUGUAUCUAUCAAAAACAAGUGUAUUUUAAGACACUGUACAAAGUGUGUAUGAUUCAACAUGUUUACACAAAUCUAUUAUUUAUAAAAUUGCAAAUAAAAAGCCUUGACUUACGUCUCACUCAGUACAUUAAGGGCAUUUUCUU